Megalobrama amblycephala (Wuchang bream) is the source of this 5003-nucleotide long non-coding RNA. RefSeq lists it as uncharacterized. The record is from RefSeq and is a predicted model, not a curated record. Lineage: Eukaryota; Metazoa; Chordata; Actinopteri; Cypriniformes; Xenocyprididae. The transcript is spliced from 2 exons.
UGAAUGGGGAAACAUCAAAUUCUCCAAAGCUGUUUGCCAAGCUUUCAAUUAAAUUUCAUAUUUGAAAUCACCAAUGAAAUCUGACAACAACUGUCUCAUAAAUUUUGUUUCUAAACGUUCGAAUCAUGGCAAAAAAACAGGUAUUUUUCAGGCGGGAUCAACCUAAUGCGCAUGCGCAGUCCUAAAUGCGCGUCUCUUGUGCCUCAUUUCUGAGGCGCGCGUCUGAAUUUCUAAUGGCCGCUGCAGUGACGCGAUGACUUUACCAAUCGGCGACUGGCUCUUAUUUAGAAGGCGGGACUUAUUCCACCAUAUUUGUGCGUUUACACGGUCGUCGAGGAUACACAGAGCGAACGUGGAAAGCGUAUCAAAAUUCGAUUUCUAGUAUAAAUGACAGGCGUAAUCGUAGCAAAUCUUAAGCGUUUUAAAACGAAAACGCACUAGUGUAAACUGGGCCUGAGAAAAAUUAAUUAGAGGGGUAAGUUGGAACAUGAGUGAAUCUCACAAGGCUUGUAGUUCAUUUAUAAUAGUUUUUUAAUCAUUACUGAUAUCAUUCUUUUGAUUUUGGGGUGAAAUAUGACGUAGUUUUCAUGAGAAAUUAUAUUCUGUUAAAUGAUAUGCCAGCCAACUAAAAAGAGCCUUCAACAGAUUUACAGUCAGUCUGAUUUUUAGUAAACUGUUGAAUCUCCUCAAACAGUCAACAUGACAAGAUUAUAAUGAAGAGAACAGCUGGCCUCUCAGAGCUGGCAAAUGUCAGAUGAGGGAGAAUGUUAUUAUAAAAUCUAUCGUACUUUCAUCACAACUGAGGCUGCAGUCAUGCUAGUAUUAUGAGCUGAAGUUCACCCUUGCUUUUUACCUUAUGCCCUCCAAAUGCCAACCAGCCACUAUCCAUUUCAGUGUAGUGGCAGAAUCCAUCAGCGAGCAAUAACUACAGACAGAGUGUUUCAUCAAAUUAUAGCAAUAUUCUGGCAGCAAUAACAGCCAUGCCCAAGCAAAACCAACACCUCAGCUAGCCGAAAAAAACAUCCAUGAAUAACUCACAACGAAAAUAUGAGUGGAUUCUAAGAACGACUGACAUAUGUACUUAUUUUAACAUCACCCGAAUUAUAUUAGUGAACUUUGGAUAAAGAAUAAAAACAGGAACUGGACAGAUGUCCCAAUCCCUGCAAACAUGUCCAUAAUCUCACUGCCUCGUGUUCUCUCGUCCAGAAAGUGACUGUGCCCUGCCUGUGUUCAUUUACGAUAUCUAACUAUGAAUGAAAUCUCUCUGUACACUCAAUGUGACCUACUCUGCAGUAUGCAUUUGCUUUUGCGAAACUUAGAGAUGUUUAUACGUGUGAGGAACGUGACGUGUAAGGCGUGACUGUCGGUGCAUGGCCGCGCGUGUGUGUGUACGUGUGAACGCAUGCAUAUAUCUUCGUCUCUCCACGGACAAUGAUGUAGUUGGGGGUAAUAAUGUAUAUUCCCCAUAGACCUGCAUGGGCUAGAGUGGCUACCAGUCUUCCCAUCGCACCCUCCUUACAUCGUGCCUGCGGGUCGGACACACCCUUGUGACCUUUUUUGCCUGAGUGACCUCUAUACGAUUCCAUUGAAACAGCACAUGAGCGGUAGCAAGCUGGUAUGUGAGUUUUAAUAGGGCUUAGCAUGGAGAUGAUGACCGGUCUGUUGCAGGUCACAUCUGACCUUUGAGGAAUAGUUUAUUUUGCUAUAUUCAUUGAAAGUCUCUAUUUUCCCCUCUUAGUCUGGUUUCUUUAAGAAUUCCUGAGAUUUUAUUUUGUAAUCUGAUGCGCUGUACAUCCUCUUCUGAAUGUAUUGACAAAGACGUUCUCAUCAUUGCGAUGGUAUUCUACCGAUCGUCUUGAUCCUGUAAAUAAGGCAUGUGACUUUAAGGAGGCAUGAUGGCAUGUCUCACCUGGUGUCAUAGAGCGCUGCAGUGAUGCAUAUAUUUGCAGGCCAAUUUGUAGGCCCGGAAUUUAACAUCACCUUGGUUCCCUCUGCAAAAACCCAAUAGGAUUUUUUCAUUGAAUUUUGGAUUAUUGCAGGAAAUAAGUUCUGUGACCAACAAAGGUUUAUGAUUCUUACAGGUUUUGUUCACAAAACUUUUAUGACUUUUGAAGCCAGAAUACAAUUGCCAGAAAUAGAUAGCUAAACGUUAGAUGUGUAAAAGAACAUCAGCGCCAUCCUCUGUAAUAUCGCGUUUAUGCCAUGUUGUAAUUACCAUAAUUUCGAGAUGACAACACAUGACGUUCUACUCGGAGCUGUUCACAUCCUCAGACAGGGAAUUAUGCAUUUCUAUGUGUAACCAGUCCUUUUCGACUUGCCCCAAGCGGGAUUUGAACCGGCGUCUCCAGCAUGGGAGGCGGGUGUGCAAACAAGGACGCUAAAGACCCAUCUCUAGCAUGCCUCUUCAGAUCAGGGGAGUGAGGUUUACUAGCCAGCUUUCAUUACACUCACCUCCCUAAACCUCACUUCCAUCUGGUUAACGGCACCAAUGUAACCGGUCUUGCUUGACCUGCUCUGAGCGGGAUUCGAACCGGCGUCUCUGGCAUGGAAGGCGCGCAUGUAACAAGGAAGCUAAAGACCAGUCUCUAGCAUGCCUUUUGAGAUCAGGGGAGUGAGGUUUACUAGCUGGCUUUCAUUACAUUCACCUCCCUAAACCUCACUUCCAUCUGGUUAACAGCACCAAUGUAACCAGUUUUGCUCGACCUGCUCUGAGCGGGAUUCGAACCGGCAUCUCUGGCAUGGAAGGCGCGCACGUAACAAGGAAGCUAAAGACCAGUCUCUAGCAUGCCUUUUGAGAUCAGGGGAGUGAGGUUUACCCACACUGCUCUUACUAGCUGGCUUCCGUUACACUCAUCCCCUAAACCUCACUCCCAUCUGGGUCACGGCAUCAAUGUAACCAGUCUUGCUCGACCUGCUCUGGGGUGCAUUUCCCAAAAGCAUCAUUAGCCAACUAUGGUUGCAAGUUCCAUUGAACUUUAUUGGUAACGAUGGAACUUGCAACCAUAGUUGGCUCUGGGAAAUGCACUCCUGAGUGGGAUUUGAACUGACGUCUCUGGUAUGGGAGGCAGAUGCGUUAACAAGGAUGCUAAAGACCAGUCUCUAGCAUGCCUCUUGAGAUCAGGGGAGUGAGGUUUACUAGCCGGCUUUCAUUACACUCACCUCCCUAAACCUCACUUCCAUCUGGUUAACGGCACCAAUGUAACCGGUCUUGCUCGACCUGCUCUGAGCGGGAUUCGAACCGGCAUCUCUGGCAUGGAAGGCGCGCACGUAACAAGGAAGCAAAAGACCAGUCUCUAACAUGCCUCUUGAGAUCAGGGGAGUGAGGUUUACCCACACUGCUCUUACUAGCUGGCUUCCGUUACACUCACCCCCCUAAACCUCACUCCCACCUGGGUCACUGCACCAAAUGUAACCGGUCUUACUCCACCUGCUCUGAGCGGGAUUUGAACUGACGUCUCCGUCAUGGGAGGCGGAUGCGCUAACAAGGUUGCUAAUGACCUCUAGCAUGCCUCUUGAGAUCAGGGGAGUGAGGUUUACCCACACUGCUCUUACUAGCUGGCUUCCGUUACACUCACCCCCCUAAACUUUACUCCCAUACGGGUCAUGGCACCAAUGUAACCAGUCUUGCUUCCACCUGCUCUGAGCGAGAUUCGAACCAGUGUCUCUGGCGUGGAAGGCGGGUGCACUAAGACCACAGUCUCUAGUGUCUGUCGCUAGUGUACCUCUUGAGAUCAAAGGAGUGAUCUCAAGUAAGCUUUUUACAAGUUGAAAUCUCGUAAUUAUGGUAAUUAUGACAUGGCAUGAACACUCAUUCAAUCUUUAUUUAAAAAGAAUUUUUUCAUAUGAGUUAGAAGAAUUCGCAAGAGCAUGAUUAUAAACACAGUGAGGUUUGUGAAAGCGACUAGUGAGUAGAUGAGUUUUCCUGUUUGGCAUGAUGACGUUUAAUGUCCCCAAAAAACUCUGUAGUCCCAUUUAACCACUUGUUAACCUUUUUCAAAACAUGUAAAAGCUUUUAAAAAAAAUCUGAAGGGGGUAUUACUGACUUGAAAAUAUCUUUAGCUUGUGUUAACCACGGACCUUAUUUCAGGCAUUUAACCAAACACCCAUUGAUUUCAGGAUGAUGCAAGCGGAGGUGCUAAAAUACUAACUUGUUUCCGGCCUACAAAAAUACAUAAUCUCUGCUGCACUCUAUUCUGCAAAAGUUAACCUUGGGCCACAUUCCAGUGUCUCCUGUUGCCUGGGCAUGCUUGUCUACAGCGGAUUGAGAGGGUUAAUGCCUGAUGCACAUGACUGGGAGAUUAUCACGUUGGCUUUUGGGGGUUAGUUUUCUGACUAAAACAUCAUAUCUCCGUCUGUUUUUGAAAAGAGCUUUGUAAAAUGAUGUUAUCAUGCUUUGUGCCUGAUCUCUGAUGGAUUUUCCACAUGCAGAUGGACGUUUGCCUAUUGAAACCAUUAUAUAAGUAGACUUGUAUCCAACUGUAGAUGAUUGUGUUCUGUAAUCCAAUGUAAGAGCUUGAAAAUGUCCAACCGAAGGGCUCGGAUGGGAGUCUGUCUCCUGUUGUGGUUUAUUUGAAGAGCAUAGAAGAGGAAAUCACCUCUGGGUCCCACCUCUGGUUUGGUGUCUUGUGAGGAAACUUUCUACAUUUACAGUAAGAUUCAGACUCGUUCUGUACUUUAUUUAGAUACUAGAAUCGAAAUCUUGAACAAUCCGAGGAGCAGUCGGGUGCAUCGGUUUCAGCAUCUUGUGUACACGUAUGCGUAGUUUUAACUGUGAAAUGCACUUUAUUUUUUUGAUGAGAAAAGGCACAACAAAUUACUUAUCUGCAAAACAAUAUUAUAAGAAUUAUAAUCAACAUGCACUAAUUAACAUUGUAUAACAUUGUGUUAAUGUGUUGUAUAUUUUUCCAAGGUGUUGGUUGUAUACUUUUAUUGCUUUGGUUAGUUUAAUGAACUGAGAGAUCUUGUUAAUUUUGUAUUAAAAAGAAUGUGCUGUGCAUUAAAAA